GGGCGAGUAGCUUAGCCUGGCUGGAGCACCCGGCUGAUAACCGGAAGGUCGAGAGUUCAAAUCUCUCCUUGCCCA
RNAcentral lists this transfer RNA (75 nucleotides) under Candidatus Aenigmatarchaeota archaeon. Its description in RNAcentral is "tRNA-Ile". It matches the Rfam family "tRNA". From Rfam's summary of the family: Transfer RNA (tRNA) molecules are approximately 80 nucleotides in length. The record is from RNAcentral. Lineage: Archaea; Nanobdellati; Candidatus Aenigmatarchaeota.